This 429-nucleotide ribosomal RNA is filed under the name bacterium. Its description in RNAcentral is "partial 16S ribosomal RNA". It matches the Rfam family "Bacterial small subunit ribosomal RNA", at positions 355 to 776 of the family's 1533-position model. The record is from RNAcentral.
UGGGGAAUCUUCCGCAAUGGACGAAAGUCUGACGGAGCAACGCCGCGUGAGUGAUGACGGCCUUCGGGUUGUAAAGCUCUGUUAAUCGGGACGAAUGGUUCUUGUGCGAAUAGUGUAAGGAUUUGACGGUACCGGAAUAGAAAGCCACGGCUAACUACGUGCCAGCAGCCGCGGUAAUACGUAGGUGGCAAGCGUUGUCCGGAAUUAUUGGGCGUAAAGCGCGCGCAGGCGGAUUGGUCAGUCUGUCUUAAAAGUUCGGGGCUUAACCCCGUGAUGGGAUGGAAACUGCCAAUCUAGAGUAUCGGAGAGGAAAGUGGAAUUCCUAGUGUAGCGGUGAAAUGCGUAGAUAUUAGGAAGAACACCAGUGGCGAAGGCGACUUUCUGGACGAAAACUGACGCUGAGGCGCGAAAGCCAGGGGAGCGAACGGG